UGGGGAAUAUUGGACAAUGGGCGCAAGCCUGAUCCAGCCAUGCCGCGUGAGUGAUGAAGGCCCUAGGGUUGUAAAGCUCUUUCACCGGUGAAGAUAAUGACGGUAACCGGAGAAGAAGCCCCGGCUAACUUCGUGCCAGCAGCCGCGGUAAUACGAAGGGGGCUAGCGUUGUUCGGAAUUACUGGGCGUAAAGCGCACGUAGGCGGAUCGAUCAGUUAGGGGUGAAAUCCCGGGGCUCAACCCCGGAACUGCCUCUAAUACUGUCGAUCUGGAGUUCGAGAGAGGUGAGUGGAAUUCCGAGUGUAGAGGUGAAAUUCGUAGAUAUUCGGAGGAACACCAGUGGCGAAGGCGGCUCACUGGCUCGAUACUGACGCUGAGGCACGAAAGCGUGGGGAUCAAACA
Molecule: ribosomal RNA, 402 nt
Filed under: uncultured bacterium
Lineage: Bacteria
Description: bacterial SSU rRNA
Rfam family: Bacterial small subunit ribosomal RNA
Source: RNAcentral